The sequence is a ribosomal RNA, 405 nucleotides long. It matches the Rfam family "Bacterial small subunit ribosomal RNA", at positions 355 to 774 of the family's 1533-position model.
UAGGGAAUAUUGGGCAAUGGGCGAAAGCCUGACCCAGCAACGCCGCGUGAGUGAAGAAGGUCCUCGGAUUGUAAAGCUCUUUGACGGGGGAAGAAACAAAUGACGGUACCCCGAAAACAAGCCACGGCUAACUACGUGCCAGCAGCCGCGGUAAUACGUAGGUGGCAAGCGUUAUCCGGAAUUACUGGGUGUAAAGGGCGUGUAGGUGGGUAGACAAGUCAGAAGUGAAAUGCCACGGCUUAACCGUGGAGUUGCUUUUGAAACUGUAUAUCUUGAGUGAUGGAGAGGUAAUUGGAAUUCCCAGUGUAGCGGUGAAAUGCGUAGAUAUUGGGAGGAACACCAGUGGCGAAGGCGGAUUACUGGACAUUAACUGACACUGAGGCGCGAAAGCGUGGGGAGCAAACA